CAGAGGGUGCGAGCGUUGUUCGGAAUUAUUGGGCGUAAAGAGCGCGUAGGUGGUUCGCUAAGUCUGGUGUGAAAGCCCUCGGCUUAACUGAGGAAGUGCAUUGGAUACUGGCGAGCUUGAGUGUGAGAGAGGAUUGUGGAAUUCCUGGUGUAGCGGUGAAAUGCGUAGAUAUCAGGAGGAACACCGGUGGCGAAGGCGGCAAUCUGGAUCAUAACUGACACUGAGGCGCGAAAGCGUGGGUAGCAAACAGGAUUAGAUACCCUGGUAGUCCACGCCGUAAACGAUGGAUGCUAGGUGUUGCAGGCUUCAACCCCUGCAGUGCCGUAGCUAACGCAUUAAGCAUCCCGCCUGGGGAGUACGGUCGCAAGACUA
RNAcentral lists this ribosomal RNA (372 nucleotides) under uncultured organism. RNAcentral describes it as "bacterial SSU rRNA". It matches the Rfam family "Bacterial small subunit ribosomal RNA", at positions 526 to 896 of the family's 1533-position model. The record is from RNAcentral.